Molecule: long non-coding RNA, 257 nt
Organism: Pygocentrus nattereri (red-bellied piranha)
Lineage: Eukaryota; Metazoa; Chordata; Actinopteri; Characiformes; Serrasalmidae
Source: Ensembl
UUCACCAAACACAACUAUGAAAGAUAAUGAAGAGAAUCAUGGAAAAGUGAUAGGGUGUGAAUACCUAGUGCCAGCAUUAGCAGUUACUAAUGUGGCAUCCAUAUCGUUCAUCAUUUGGCUCUGUCACCUCUUAAAGAAGAAACGAUUAGGUGUAACAGCUGAAGGCUUCAGUGCAAGUGACAACGUGGCAAGUGACAAAGUGGUAGUUAAAUAUCAAAGAAUUAAACAUUUAAAAUCUCUAACUUAUUACAUUUUAU